Non-coding RNA from Caenorhabditis elegans, 70 nucleotides. NCBI's taxonomy places the organism in Eukaryota, Metazoa, Nematoda, Chromadorea, Rhabditida, Rhabditidae. The record is from Ensembl.
GGAAGAAGAGUUGGAGACGUUUUAUUCUAUUACGAGUUGUGAAGCGGUCUUGAGUUGUUCCAAAGUACUU